This 230-nucleotide ribosomal RNA is filed under the name uncultured bacterium. Its description in RNAcentral is "partial 16S ribosomal RNA". It matches the Rfam family "Bacterial small subunit ribosomal RNA", at positions 562 to 791 of the family's 1533-position model. The record is from RNAcentral.
AAAGCGUGCGCAGGCGGUUAUGUAAGACAGAUGUGAAAUCCCCGGGCUCAACCUGGGAACUGCAUUAGUGACUGCAUAACUGGAGUACGGCAGAGGGGGAUGGAAUUCCGCGUGUAGCAGUGAAAUGCGUAGAUAUGCGGAGGAACACCGAUGGCGAAGGCAAUCCCCUGGGCCUGUACUGACGCUCAUGCACGAAAGCGUGGGGAGCAAACAGGAUUAGAUACCCGUGU